Molecule: ribosomal RNA, 274 nt
Filed under: uncultured bacterium
Lineage: Bacteria
Description: partial 16S ribosomal RNA
Rfam family: Bacterial small subunit ribosomal RNA
Source: RNAcentral
AGACGAAGGUGGCAACCGUUGUUCGGAAUCACUGGGCAUAAAGCGCGCGUAGGCGGCAGCGUAAGUCGGAUGUGAAAUCCCUCGGCUCAACCGAGGAACUGCGUCCGAAACUGCGUAGCUUGAGGACAGAAGGGGAGCGUGGAAUUCCGGGUGGAGCGGUGAAAUGCGUUGAUAUCCGGAGGAACACCGGCGGCGAAGGCGACGCUCUGGUCUGUUUCUGACGCUGAGGUGCGAAAGCCAGGGGAGCAAACGGGAUUAGAAACCCCUGUAGUCC